AGCUGACAGUGUAGGACAGGAAGAAAAAGCAGAGGACAUAUAGGAUGGUGGAGUUACCUCAAGGUGGCUCUAAGAACUUCUGGAAUGGAUGGAGAGCACCAACUGCGUUACCCCCCACCCGGCUGACCGGCACAGGCGUACAGAGAAGACUGCGGCAGCCUCCGCCACCUCGGUCAGCUGGAGCUUGCUACACUCGCUGCUGCACACCGCCGCCAUCUUGUUACUGCCUGUGCUACUGGUCUGCCUGCCUUUGCUGCACUCAAACCAAAUCAUCAAACUCAGCCUGCGGUUGUUUCCAUGCCACUCCUGUUUGUGCGCAGCUUUGUCACAACGCAGUGCUGCGCACCAGCUACCGGACGUUGCUGCACAGAAGCACCUGGAACUUUUAUCUGGGUGUUUCUUUAAUAGCUGCCACAGAUUGGAUGCUGCAGACGGUGUUGUCAGCAUCUCUCAAACCAUCAGUAAGAUCUGUACCAUUGUAACACACACUAUGCCCGAUGUAGAUUUAGCUAAGGACUUGACAUGCCGUACACCAUUAAAACAAGUAAAAAUAAGUGAAAUGUUAUUUUACAAAUUUACAAAUGAUUCAAAGUGGCAUGUCUUCUUCGCAGGAUUUAAGAAAAUUGCUCCCGUCGAAGAAAAUCAAUAACCACAAUCUGUCCCUUAUUCUGUGUAUAUAUUUCUCUCCAGAGCCCAUAUGCCUGAGCACAUAUACUGUAUAUGCUAUCUUUGUGAGCUUGUGUGCUGUAAAGAGAGGGUGGGAAAGAGAAAGGAGGGGAGUGAGAGAGAAAGAGAGGAAUCAAGCGUCGGUAAGAAAGUCUUCCUAAUUCUGUUUGGCAGAAACUGUGCUGUUUAACCAUAUGUGCAGAGAGCAGGCUUUGCACAUGCUCAGAAUGACUCAGAGGACACGACUUUCACAUGUCUCAACGCAAUUAGAUUAACUAAUAGAUAAUUUUCCAGCAAAUAUAAAUAAGUUACAGUGAAGUCAUAAAUAAUUUAAAAAGUGUGCACUCUACCUUGAAUUAUUUUUGUUGUACUCACAGUAUGAGGUUAAAACAUGGGCAUUAGAAGGAGAGCGGGAUACAAACACAGCAAGUAUAUUCCAGCUUAUGGAAAUCUUAUUCCUGCAUUUAACUGUGCUUUGGUGCAAAACAAGUGGAAGUGUGUAGGUGGAGGCCACAGUGAUACAGCAGUGAGUUCAGAAGGUCUUCAAUCCUCUAAGACUAUAUGCCAAGAAGACACCAUGCUAAUGAAAUCAUAAAGACGGUGAAGAAAACAAGCUGUCCCUGGAGAAUACAUCCAUGCAUCGGAGGUUGCCAGUUUUACUUUACUUGCUUCUGGGUAUGCAUGUACUGUAGCUUUGCAGUGAUACUGUAUUUAUAAGGUCAAAGGCUGCUUUGCUUCAGGGUUAAAAUGCUCUCAGCCUUUAUCUUAUGAUUACCUUCAUCAGGUCAGUGAAGAUCACCCUUUGCCCCACCAGCUGAGUGGGACAGCGGGUUACAAGAGGUAUGCAAAUCACAGUAAUAUUUAUUAUGUAUAACAAGGAAGAAAAUGUAAAAAAGAAGAAGAGUUUAAAUCACUGCUGAUAUUCCUAUGAAAUACAGGGUACAAUUAGAAUGAGAUAGAAAUGAUCAAGAUGCAAUUAACGUUCAUACUUUAAAUAUUGGACAGAAAUAUGACGUUGAAUAAUUUUGGCCACUUUUAUACACAGUCCGCCAUCUUUAGGUGCUUAAAUGCAGUCGAACGAACGCUCGUUAUAAGUUGGGGGCGGUUACAGUUACAGAACCAGCAGUUCUGGCCUAUUCAGAGAGCUCAGGUGGUGGAGCAGGUGGUGGAGCAGGUUUGGGCAGGACACUGAACCCCUAGUUGCUCUCGAUGGCAGAUGAGCUGUCUGAACACGUGUGGCCUAUAAAUGCCGAUCGUCUAAAAUUUGUACUUUUAAUACUUUGUCAGGAAUCAUUUGCGGGCAGUCUGAUUUCUGAAACCUUCGGAUAUUAAUGCUUCUGCGUUUCUGCAGUUGUUUGUUUACGCGUCUUGUUAUCAGGGAGUGAAAUUCAUACUCAGUCAGACUGAGAUUGGCCGAGAAAGUUAAAUUGUCUGCAUCAUGGUUGACUAUAAUCAAUGCUGACAUUGCUUGUUGUCCUCAUUGUGUAAGGACGGAAUCAUUAGAAACACCAAGUAACAGCGUAUUACGUAGAGAGCAAAGAAUUCGUAGUUUAUCGAGCUACCAGGUCUCACGCAGAGUUAACUUUGAAUUGAUGAUUAAAAGCAAACAAUAGUCAACUGAUAGUUUUCAUGAAUGUUAUUAAUCUAGUUUAAAAUUUCAAAUUCAGUUGGAGUUUCAGAGACUUCAGAGCAGAUCGCUGAAACAAUACCGAAGCAAUAUUGCUGCAUUUUAAAUCCGUCCGUCCAAGUCAUCUUUAGGCAAAAUGCAGGAUAUACUGUGGACUCAUUACCAGUCUAUCACGUGGCUAAUACAGAACACUUGCAGUCCAUCAGCUAAGAAUGGCUGCAUGAUUAAAUCCCAUUUAGAGGAAUUAUUCACUGUCAAAAAGUCCAAUUUAUGCAGAAAGCACAUAAGAGCAAAUAUGAAUUUCUUACUGGAAGGUAAGCUCCAUACUGGAACAUCACAAUACAAGUUCAGAGAGCCUGUCCAAUGAAAUAAUUCAUUAUAAUCCAAAGUGAGCCUUCAUCAGCCUGGGAGUUGUCCUGCUAUGUUUUUAUGAUCCAGUUAACAGAAAUAAAGCCCUCAACUCUCCGGCUUGAGUAAUGACGUAAGCAGUUAACGAUUGGAAGAAUUUCUUUUUGGACAAGAGCGGAGGACGUUGAUCAUUCAGGGUCAACAAUGAGCGCCUCAUUUGUUCUUUUUUUCCCCAUUUGUAGUAUAAAUAGAAGCAGUUCAGCCUUCAGUGGAGAGUUUGUGGAGCAUACUUACUGAGUGUCGAAUGCAAAGAUGUUGCAUUCUUUAUUAUUCCAUAUCAACUGUCCUGGAAUCCGUUACACCAUUUCCCAGAAUUGCAGUCCAAAAAGUAUGUAAAUCCCAGCUGGGAAUGGGUGUAGAAUCCCAAGGUUUGUGCACGUGACAUGAACUAUUCAUUCUUCUUCUUUUUCUGUCAAAGCAUGACUUCUUAAAAAGAGUUACAGGUGUAUCUGGGCCCACCUUCUUGUUACAUAUAUAUAAUGCACAGCUGUCAAAAGUAAAUAAAGUAGAAAUCACAAACGUCCUUUGUUAGGUGUUCACAUUUAAUUGCUCCUUCAGAAAUAAAUGCAAAAUCUUUGGAAAACAGGAUAAUCUGCUAACAAGUGCCAUUUCCUUACCCAGAGGACCCAUACUUGAGACUUUGUUUCUCCCAGAAUACAAUGUUUCCUCAUUUUCAGUGAGGAACCAACCAAAAACCAAAAGGUUUUGACAUUCAUUGUUCUCCCAGAAGAUGCAUCUGCAGGCAAUCCCUAACUUUCUCCUCUAGUGCUACCAGCACAAUGAUGUACAGGUGUAUGUGGUUUUAAAAUUCAUAAGUCACCAAAUACUGGAUGGAUUUCCAUUAAAGUUUGUGCCGAUAUUCAUAUCCUUCAGUGUACCUGUCUGCAUUUUUUUAAAAAGUGUCCUGUGUUCCAGUAUUUUGGCUUGCGAUUAAACAACUGCAAAGCUAGUGAUUUGCUGCAUUACUUACAUAUUGCAGUCAUGAAUAAGAGAAGAGACUAGUCUUUCCUGGUAGACUGCAGUGAAUUAUCUUCACAGCAGCAGAGUAGACAUAGAUUGCAUGACAUGGUGCAGUUUGCACAUGGAAUGCAGAAAGAUUUCAGGCACUGAGUGAUGAAGGCCAGAUGUUUGAGUUAUGCAUAGGAAGUCAGUGGCCUACAGUUGGUACUGUAUGAAGCGAUGAUGCCAGAAACCAUCGCCGGCAUAUACCAUGUAAUUAAAUUUAAGGAAGCCCACUCACAUAUUACAGCUUGUAUAUAAAAGCAAUACAUGUUCCAGGUUUGAAAAAAACAGACAUCAAAAAACAUUACAUAAACACAAGUGCCUAAAUAAAAAUAGAAACGGUAUAUGAGUAAGAGGUGUUGCUUAUGAUUCACCUGGUUACAGUUUGCAUAGCAACUAAUUCUAGUUUUUUUAUAUAUAUAUAUAUAUAUAAAGUUUUGCUCAAAAAUAAAAAAUAAAGAAAAGCUUAAGAGUCUGAGAGGUUGUUGUGAAUGUUGUGGAUUUAAUGAUUGGUCAAAAAUAAAUAAAACAUAAAUAUAAGCGAGGUCAUUAUAUCGAUAUCUUCAAUUUUGUCCUUCAUUUGUAGAUGUUACGGAAAUUAAUCUUUUUAAACUUGGAGAAAAGAAACAAGUUCAAAAGAGGACUUGUUUACCAGAAAAUAUUCCUUGCACAUUGAUUUGCAGCACGCAGUGUGGUUACAUUAUUAAACUAUAGACACCCAGCAAUGGUAAAUAUAUACUGAAACUUACCUCCUCCUCCUAUAGACGGUUUUCUCUUGUUCUUUCUCCCUCCUUUUUGUCUCGUCUUGCACACAGUUACACAUGCACACUCCCAGCCUGUCUGCGUCUCACACUCAAACACGCACACACACACACACGCACACACACGCACCGUCUUUUGUUUGGAGUCAGACGGCAUUGAAGGCAGAUCCUGUGGCCCUUCUGAGGAGAAUGUUAAUAUGCCCGCUCUGGUCUCUCUGGGGACGCAGAGAAUGGACUCGGGCUGCUAAUGCACUGUCACACUAACCCCGCUAAGUAUUCUCACAGUUAGCAACAGCAGCGCUGCUCCCAGAACUGAAAUGUAUUUAACUAAACUCGCAACCUACUGAAUCGUAAAGACUUACUUUAGAUUGUCCUUUCACAAAUAACUGCCUCAUUUGCCCACCUUUCUGUGCCUGCAAACAGAGAUAUGGCAGGUGGGCUAUUUGUUGAGUGCAGUUAGACUUAUUUCACUUUCAUUAGCACUUUAUUUAUGUGGACUCAUUAGGGGCAGUUUGCUCCCCCACACUGAGGUAGGCUUAAUGGAUUAUACUAACGACCUACACAAGCACACGGUAUUCAGUUACAUGUAGAGUUUAAACAAGUCAAAUUAUCUUUAAAGAGUUUGGGCUCGGUAUCGUUUUUGCUAACUUUGGCUAAAGGAUGUAUUUUUGCUUGUGGUUCAGUGAAAUCCUGCUAUUCGAACUGUGGUCACCUGAGUGGAAGGAAAAUGUUCCCCACUUACCAAACUGGUGUGAGGAGUAACUAUGUUUUCAUUUAUGUCAUGAAUAAAAUAAAACUAUUUUUGCUAUUUAAGAGCAUUAAAAAUGAAAAAUAAAUUAAUAACAUUUACUUCAUGUUGUAUAUUGGCUGUGGUCAUUGUGUCCAUGUGCUGAGCCUGUGGAUCACAGUUGCAUGCAGUAAUAGUCAAAGGAUAUUUAAGGUAUUACUAUAUAAACUAUGUAUUAUCAUGGAUUAAAUAUAUUAUAUAAG
This is a long non-coding RNA of Astatotilapia calliptera (eastern happy), 5454 nucleotides long. NCBI's taxonomy places the organism in Eukaryota, Metazoa, Chordata, Actinopteri, Cichliformes, Cichlidae. The record is from Ensembl.